This 207-nucleotide ribosomal RNA is filed under the name uncultured bacterium. RNAcentral's name for it is "partial 16S ribosomal RNA". It matches the Rfam family "Bacterial small subunit ribosomal RNA", at positions 568 to 774 of the family's 1533-position model. The record is from RNAcentral.
CGCGUAGGCGGCUGAGCAAGUCAGUAGUGGAAGUCCAUUUUUCAAGGAUGGAAGUGCUAUUGAAACUGCGCAGCUUGAGUGCAGGAGAGGUUAUCGGAAUUCCCGGCGUAGCGGUGAAAUGCGUAGAUAUCGGGAGGAACACCAGUGGCGAAGGCGGGUAACUGGACUGCAACUGACGCUGAGGCGCGAAAGUGUGGGGAGCAAACA